RNAcentral lists this ribosomal RNA (447 nucleotides) under Triticum aestivum (bread wheat). RNAcentral describes it as "partial small subunit ribosomal RNA". Lineage: Eukaryota; Viridiplantae; Streptophyta; Magnoliopsida; Poales; Poaceae. The record is from RNAcentral.
CUCAAACAAGCUCCUCGCGCUUGGUAUGAUACAAUCAAAGACUUCCUGAAGAGCAAGGGCUUCAAACCUGGAUCCCUCGAUCCCACACUCUUCACGAAGACAUAUGAUGGUGAACUGUUUGUAUGCCAAAUAUAUGUGGAUGACAUAAUCUCCGGCUGCACCAAUCAGAAGUAUAGUGAUGAGUUUGGAUACAUGAUGCAAGAGCAAUAUCAGAUGUCCAUGAUGGGUGAGCUGAAGUUCUUCCUUGGUCUUCAAAUUCAUCAGCAAAGAAAUGGCAUCUUCAUAUCUCAAGAAAAAUAUCUCAAAGACUGUCUGAAGAAGUUCGGCAUGCAAGAUUGCAAAGGGUACACGACGCCAAUGCCAGCCAAACAUCAUCUUGGUCCCAACAACAAUGGUAAAGGGUUCGAUCAACAGGUAUACCGCUCCAUGAUUGGUUCUUUACUUUAA